AGGUCAAGUAGGCCUUCAAAAUGUCAUGUAUGCCACUCAAAUAUUAUUUAAUCCUGAUCUCUCCGAAGUUGUUGAGUUCAGGCAGAGUAUGGUUGAGCAAGGUGUCAAUGGUACCCAGCCACUGUUUAUUGCAAAUGAGGGUAAAUUGUCUCCUUGGAAGAUGAUUUAAUGCGUUUAACUAGAAAAUGCACUAUUGAAGAGCUUCAACAAUGAGGUUAUCUUCCUUUGAGGAGGGUUCUUUUAUCAUUUUUGGUACAAUCCAAUGUAUUGUUGAAGAUGGAGGUUGGUGGUAUUCUGCUUGUGUGUGUCAAAAGGGUAUCUAUCCUCAAAAUGGUGCAUAUUACUAUGAUUUCUGUUUGAAGCAUAUAACUAAUGUCACUCCAAGAUUUAAACUUAAAAUAACAGUUGAUGAUCAUAGUGGGGAGGGUAUUUUCCUCCUCUUUGAUCGUGAGGCAUCUUAUUUGCUUAAGAAAUCAUGUGCUGACUUGUUUACUGAGGUUCAAAGAGAUGCAAGUCUUGUAUGUGGGGAUACUUAUCCUCCCAUAUUCCAAGGGCUCAUUGGAAAGAAGUUACUGCUGAAGGUUGAUACCAAAGGUGUCCCACAUGAUACAUUUUAUGGCACUUUCCGAGUUAGGAGAAUAUGUGAUGAUCCCACCAUUAUUGCCAUGUUUGAACUUCCCAAUUAUGAUGCUGAUGAUGAGUCUACUCCAAAACGGUUACAUAUACAUAUAAUUAUCCUUAGAUUGUGUAAAUUCAUGUUUUGUUCCUUCUUUUUUUAUUCUGCUGUGGUAAAUUUUUCUUAUGGUGUAAUGUAUCUUUAAACUCUUAUGCCAUGUGAAUAGGAUCCUGAUUUAUACAAAUCUGUUUCGUGUGGAAAAGGGGAUAUUGGUAUUAAGGAGGAGUCAUCAAAGACUUGUAUCAAAAGUGAAAAAGUUGCUGAGGGACUGAGUUUGCUGCCUUAGUCAAUGGUGAAGAUGGGAAAGAUGAGAAAACACCCAGUAAUGAUACUGUUAGUGAUGAUCUUUCCGUUGAACUGGAUAUAUUGCUUAGCUCACCAGAAAAGGAAACUCAGGAGGUGCUGUCCCACGUUCUCCAUGCACGUUGCCAAUAUGAAGAAAAGCUUACUCAUGAAAAUGAUGUUGUCACCUCCAAGGGCAAGAGGAAUUUGAAUCCCCAAUUUGAAGAGGCGGCUACUGUUGCAGAUGGGCGUGGGUCCAAGGUUGCCAAGGUUAAUAGGGUGUGAUUGAAGGUGUGGAAUUGAGCUGCUAUGUGUAGGUCUGAAAUUGAGGGACCUGAGCAAAAAUCUAAUUCAGAGGCUGACAAAGGACUGCUGAUGUUGUUGGAUUCUGACCUCCCUGCACUCGAAGUGGAUUUUCUAGAGCUACAAAACUCCAAAUGGCACGCUCUCAAUUGAGUUGGAAAGUAGACAUCUAGGGCUUUCCAGAAAUAUAUAAUAAUCCAUACUUUGCUUGGGUUUUGACGAUGCAAACUGGCAUUCAAACGCCCCUUCGAAGUCAAAACGCCAGAACUGGCAUAAAAGCUGGAGUUAAACGCCCAAACUGGCACAAAACCUGGCGUUUAACUCUAAGGAAGACCUCUACACGUGUAAAGCUCAAUGCUCAGCCAAAGCACACACCAAGUGGGCCCGGAAGUGGAUUUCUGCAUCAUUUACCUAUUUCUGUAAACCCUAGUAGCUAGUUUCAUUAUAAAUAGGAUCUUUUACUAUUGUAUUUUCAUCCGAGAAUCUUUUGAUCAUCUUUUGAUCUCUUGAUCACAUUUUGGGGGCUGGCCUCGCGGCCAUGCCUACCUUCAUCACUUAUGUAUUUUCAAUGGUGGAGUUUCUACACACCAUAGAUUAAGGUGUGGAGCUCUGCUGUUCCUCGAGUAUU
Long non-coding RNA from Arachis duranensis, 1889 nucleotides. RefSeq lists it as uncharacterized. The record is from RefSeq and is a predicted model, not a curated record. The transcript has 8 exons. Lineage: Eukaryota; Viridiplantae; Streptophyta; Magnoliopsida; Fabales; Fabaceae.